UUUCAGGGAGUGGUGAUAUGGAUUCAGAAAACAUGUGUGGUGAUCCGGAAAGUCGGAUCACGGCGUCACGUGAUUGCGUUAUAUCUACAGUAAAGUUGAGUGGUACACAUUAGAACGAAUCUGGGAAUGUUUUUGAUGUGAAUGGCAUAUCAGAGUGUAUUGAAGAUGAUGAUUUUGAUGAAAACUCAAUGUCCAGCGCCGAAGAGUUUGAGGAUACUCUAAUAAAGAAUCCAGAUCGCAAAAAGAAAGCAAAACAUAAAUACAGACGACGAAGAAGACUGAAGAAAUCGGCUGCCCGGUGUACCAAAACGAUUAACAAGAAAUGGGAAUUUUUCUGAUACAUAGUAUUAUUUUUGCUG
Long non-coding RNA from Saccostrea cuccullata (small rock oyster), 359 nucleotides. RefSeq lists it as uncharacterized. The transcript has 3 exons. The record is from RefSeq and is a predicted model, not a curated record. Lineage: Eukaryota; Metazoa; Mollusca; Bivalvia; Ostreida; Ostreidae.